Molecule: ribosomal RNA, 495 nt
Filed under: uncultured bacterium
Lineage: Bacteria
Description: partial 16S ribosomal RNA
Rfam family: Bacterial small subunit ribosomal RNA
Source: RNAcentral
UGAACGCUGGCGGCGUGCCUAAUACAUGCAAGUCGAGCGAACAGAUGCGGAGCUUGCUCCUCUGCCGUUAGCGGCGGACGGGUGAGUAACACGUGGAUAACCUACCUAUAAGACUGGGAUAACUUCGGGAAACCGGAGCUAAUACCGGAUAAUAUAUUGAACCGCAUGGUUCAAUAGUGAAAGACGGUUUUGCUGUCACUUAUAGAUGGAUCCGCGCCGCAUUAGCUAGUUGGUAAGGUAACGGCUUACCAAGGCAACGAUGCGUAGCCGACCUGAGAGGGUGAUCGGCCACACUGGAACUGAGACACGGUCCAGACUCCUACGGGAGGCAGCAGUAGGGAAUCUUCCGCAAUGGGCGAAAGCCUGACGGAGCAACGCCGCGUGAGUGAUGAAGGUCUUCGGAUCGUAAAACUCUGUUAUUAGGGAAGAACAAAUGUGUAAGUAACUAUGCACGUCUUGACGGUACCUAAUCAGAAAGCCACGGCUAACUACGUG